Molecule: non-coding RNA, 92 nt
Filed under: human gut metagenome
Also listed under: 1 other name
Description: THF riboswitch
Rfam family: THF (Tetrahydrofolate) riboswitch aptamer
About the family: THF riboswitch presents a pseudoknot that joins P1-P2 and the loop of P3 and two THF binding.
Source: RNAcentral
CAGAGUAAGAUUUUCUGCGUUAAGUGCCGUUCCGACGGGGAGUUGUGGAGCGGACGAAGGGAAGCCGCGGUAGAAAAUCUGCAUCCCGCUGU